UACAUUUUAGUAUAUUAUGUAUAAAAGUUUUUGAUACUUUAGGAAAUAGUUUGAUUAUUAGAUGUAA
Molecule: transfer RNA, 67 nt
Filed under: Scolytinae sp. BMNH 1039896
Lineage: Eukaryota; Metazoa; Arthropoda; Insecta; Coleoptera; Curculionidae
Description: tRNA-Gln
Source: RNAcentral